GGGCAGUGGCUUAGGGGUAGAGCUUCUGCUUUGUGUGCAGAAGGUCCCAGGUUCAAUCCUCAGAAUGUGGUACCU
Molecule: transfer RNA, 75 nt
Filed under: Sphaerodactylus townsendi
Lineage: Eukaryota; Metazoa; Chordata; Lepidosauria; Squamata; Sphaerodactylidae
Description: tRNA-Thr
Source: RNAcentral